RNAcentral lists this ribosomal RNA (553 nucleotides) under uncultured bacterium. RNAcentral describes it as "partial 16S ribosomal RNA". It matches the Rfam family "Bacterial small subunit ribosomal RNA", at positions 355 to 902 of the family's 1533-position model. The record is from RNAcentral.
UGGGGAAUUUUGGACAAUGGGCGAAAGCCUGAUCCAGCAAUGCCGCGUGUGUGAAGAAGGCCUUCGGGUUGUAAAGCACUUUUGUCCGGAAAGAAAUCCUUGGCUCUAAUACAGUCGGGGGAUGACGGUACCGGAAGAAUAAGCACCGGCUAACUACGUGCCAGCAGCCGCGGUAAUACGUAGGGUGCAAGCGUUAAUCGGAAUUACUGGGCGUAAAGCGUGCGCAGGCGGUUUGCUAAGACCGAUGUGAAAUCCCCGGGCUCAACCUGGGAACUGCAUUGGUGACUGGCAGGCUAGAGUAUGGCAGAGGGGGGUAGAAUUCCACGUGUAGCAGUGAAAUGCGUAGAGAUGUGGAGGAAUACCGAUGGCGAAGGCAGCCCCCUGGGCCAAUACUGACGCUCAUGCACGAAAGCGUGGGGAGCAAACAGGAUUAGAUACCCUGGUAGUCCACGCCCUAAACGAUGUCAACUAGUUGUUGGGGAUUCAUUUCUUAGUAACGUAGCUAACGCGUGAAGUUGACCGCCUGGGGAGUACGGUCGCAAGAUUAAAACUC